UGAUUAAGAAUAGUUUAUAGAAGACUAGGAGAUGAGAGCUUACAUUUGAAAAAAAAUGAAGUGUUUUGUUUCCUUCCCUCUAACAGACAUCUAAACAUUUCUUUUGACCUAAUGUGGUGUGAUGGGUGGAGRGAGGCCGGAAGGGAUGUAAUACCGGGUACUGCUUCUUCAAUGAGCACAUUUUGAUCGCAGAUCUGAAGACAUUUUUUCAAAAUGGCAAGUGAGGUGAUUUAUGCAGAAGUAUCACCAGAAGAGAGAGGGCAUUUUACUUCACAAACUUCAGAUGAAGGUGAUAGGACGACAUACGCUGAGGUGAAAGUGAAAUGGAAAUCUGACACGUCUGACAAUACACCCAAGACUACACAUACAGUGGUCUGCUCUGAGAAUUCACACUGGUGUUACGUUGCUAUUGCGCUGUACUUCACCGCAGUGAUUCUGCUCAUCACUGUGAUCCUCUUAGCUGUGAAAUGUCAUCAUCUCUGAGGUGAAUGGUGCAGUCCAGCUGACAUACAGGGCUUACUCUCCCUGGCAGUUGUCUCUUGCCAUGCUGAAGACACCACAGUGGAUCCUGUGUCAAACCAAUGUCCAGUCACUAAGAAGGCAAGGGCAAGUCACAGCAGGAGGGCAGCAGCUCACGAUUUUUGUUUGCAGCAGCACGCCUCAUCCCAAAGCAUGACACGUUGUGCCAUGGCCCUCAUGGCACGUAGCUGCCCUCCCUUUGCUCCAGAGGACACUUACAGCAUGCUGAAUUUCAAAAAGAUAUUCAACUUCUAAGAGCUUCUGUCUUUUUUAUUUCCAGAAAAGUCAGCUUGAGAAGGCUCUGCUCCUUCAACAAAACAUGGUAUAAUACUUGUUUACUUUUAUAUUAUUUUCUCUGAAGAGACUUUUAUGAAAGAAGACAUGCUGUCAGUCUGAUCACACUUCAGUUACUUCUACCAGGAGUUUCAUGAAACCUUCAACCUCCCCAUAUAUGGAUAAAAUAUAUCUUAUUACUUUUAUUCUGAAUUUGAUUAGACCCAUAAUACCAGCAGCCAUUCAAUGAUAUCAGUGCUUGUGACAAGGCAUGGCCUCAAGUUGCUGAAUUAAAAGUUGGAUUUGAGGCUUGUCUAGGCAGAGCAAAUGUCCAGAUGGGCCAAUUUGAGACAUCACUUGUAAUUCACAUCUGACUUGAUUUUGCAAAAAUUUGCCAUGUACACAAGCUUUUAGAUUUCAAUAUGCUCAAAGGCAAAAAUGCAGGGAUAGAACAGGGAAUGGGAAAGGUUGCACUGGAUGUUUUUUAUGACAUCCUGAUCUAGAUGUGAGUUUUCCUAUCCUGACAGCCCUUGGUGGGAUUUGUAUGAAAGAGAGGUAUUGACAGCACAGGAAAACUGUAUUAGAUUAGUAGAGAAGUUUCAGUCUUGUUCCCUCAUUAGCUUGAACAAAAAAAUUCUAUUCUACUUGUCCAGAACAGUAUUUCACAGAGCCAUAAUAUGUUGUUUCUGUCUUGGGGCAGUAAUUCAUUCUGUGCUAUCUUAUGUUUCCAAAUGGUGUAGCUUCAGUUAAAUCAGAGUCCUCUGCCAGAACCUCAGGUUCAAAUGCAUUUGAUUUUAGUUAUUGUUUUGGUGUUUGAUUUUAUAUGGUUUUAAUUUCUCCUCAGAUAUACUCUAACUCCUUUGGGGCAGGCUGAUAUCAAUGAUUUGCAGUCCUUGAGUCCUGUACAGCAAAUAUUUCUAAGAACUGUUCCCUGUAUUUAACUUUAUCUGUACUUAAGCCAUGUUGUUGUUGCUGUUAAUAAUGUACCACAUUGUUUAUAGUAUAUGCACCAGAUAUCAAUAAAGAGAUUUAUUAAAACA
This 1832-nucleotide long non-coding RNA is filed under the name Dromaius novaehollandiae (emu). RNAcentral describes it as "lncRNA (ENSDNVG00000004010.1)". The record is from RNAcentral. Lineage: Eukaryota; Metazoa; Chordata; Aves; Casuariiformes; Dromaiidae.